This 254-nucleotide ribosomal RNA is filed under the name uncultured bacterium. RNAcentral's name for it is "partial 16S ribosomal RNA". It matches the Rfam family "Bacterial small subunit ribosomal RNA", at positions 524 to 776 of the family's 1533-position model. The record is from RNAcentral.
GACGUAGGGGGCGAGCGUUGUCCGGAUUUAUUGGGCGUAAAGCGCGCGUAGGCGGCCCGUUAAGUCGGAUGUGAAAACCCGUGGCUCAACCACGGGCCUGCAUCCGAUACUGGCGGGCUCGAGGCAGGCAGGGGAGAUCGGAAUUCCUGGUGUAGCGGUGAAAUGCGCAGAUAUCAGGAGGAACACCGGUGGCGAAGGCGGCAUCCUGGACCAAUUCUGACGCUGAGUGAGCGAAAGCCAGGGGAGCAAACGGG